RNAcentral lists this unclassified non-coding RNA (308 nucleotides) under uncultured Nectriaceae. RNAcentral's name for it is "sequence contains ITS1". The stretch from base 1 to 105 matches the Rfam family "5.8S ribosomal RNA", at positions 50 to 154 of the family's 154-position model. The record is from RNAcentral. Lineage: Eukaryota; Fungi; Ascomycota; Sordariomycetes; Hypocreales; Nectriaceae.
GAAAUGCGAUAAGUAAUGUGAAUUGCAGAAUUCAGUGAAUCAUCGAAUCUUUGAACGCACAUUGCGCCCGCUAGUAUUCUGGCGGGCAUGCCUGUUCGAGCGUCAUUUCAACCCUCAAGCCCCCGGGCUUGGUGUUGGGGAUCGGCCGCCGUGACCCGGUGGCCGGCCCCGAAUCCCAGUGGCGGUCUCGCUGUAGCCUCCCCUGCGUAGUAGCACACCUCGCACUGGAACUCGGCGCGGCCACGCCGUAAAACCCCCCACUCCUGAAGGUUGACCUCGGAUCAGGUAGGAAUACCCGCUGAACUUAA